This 570-nucleotide ribosomal RNA is filed under the name Escherichia coli. RNAcentral's name for it is "partial 23S ribosomal RNA". It matches the Rfam family "Bacterial large subunit ribosomal RNA", at positions 2222 to 2791 of the family's 2925-position model. The record is from RNAcentral. Lineage: Bacteria; Pseudomonadati; Pseudomonadota; Gammaproteobacteria; Enterobacterales; Enterobacteriaceae.
CUAACGUUGACCCGUAAUCCGGGUUGCGGACAGUGUCUGGUGGGUAGUUUGACUGGGGCGGUCUCCUCCUAAAGAGUAACGGAGGAGCACGAAGGUUGGCUAAUCCUGGUCGGACAUCAGGAGGUUAGUGCAAUGGCAUAAGCCAGCUUGACUGCGAGCGUGACGGCGCGAGCAGGUGCGAAAGCAGGUCAUAGUGAUCCGGUGGUUCUGAAUGGAAGGGCCAUCGCUCAACGGAUAAAAGGUACUCCGGGGAUAACAGGCUGAUACCGCCCAAGAGUUCAUAUCGACGGCGGUGUUUGGCACCUCGAUGUCGGCUCAUCACAUCCUGGGGCUGAAGUAGGUCCCAAGGGUAUGGCUGUUCGCCAUUUAAAGUGGUACGCGAGCUGGGUUUAGAACGUCGUGAGACAGUUCGGUCCCUAUCUGCCGUGGGCGCUGGAGAACUGAGGGGGGCUGCUCCUAGUACGAGAGGACCGGAGUGGACGCAUCACUGGUGUUCGGGUUGUCAUGCCAAUGGCACUGCCCGGUAGCUAAAUGCGGAAGAGAUAAGUGCUGAAAGCAUCUAAGCACGAA